Molecule: ribosomal RNA, 497 nt
Filed under: uncultured bacterium
Lineage: Bacteria
Description: partial 16S ribosomal RNA
Rfam family: Bacterial small subunit ribosomal RNA
Source: RNAcentral
GAUGAACGCCGGCGGCGUGCCUAAUACAUGCAAGUCGAGCGAACGGACGAGAAGCUUGCUUCUCUGAUGUUAGCGGCGGACGGGUGAGUAACACGUGGAUAACCUACCUAUAAGACUGGGAUAACUUCGGGAAACCGGAGCUAAUACCGGAUAAUAUUUUGAACCGCAUGGUACAAAAGUGAAAGACGGUCUUGCUGUCACUUAUAGAUGGAUCCGCGCUGCAUUAGCUAGUUGGUAAGGUAACGGCUUACCAAGGCAACGAUGCAUAGCCGACCUGAGAGGGUGAUCGGCCACACUGGAACUGAGACACGGUCCAGACUCCUACGGGAGGCAGCAGUAGGGAAUCUUCCGCAAUGGGCGAAAGCCUGACGGAGCAACGCCGCGUGAGUGAUGAAGGUCUUCGGAUCGUAAAACUCUGUUAUUAGGGAAGAACAUAUGUGUAAGUAACUGUGCACAUCUUGACGGUACCUAAUCAGAAAGCCACGGCUAACUACGUG